GUCGCAAAAACAUGGCUCGCACCAAGC
This 27-nucleotide non-coding RNA is filed under the name Cricetulus griseus (Chinese hamster). The record is from RNAcentral. Lineage: Eukaryota; Metazoa; Chordata; Mammalia; Rodentia; Cricetidae.